This is a long non-coding RNA of Lolium rigidum, 240 nucleotides long. RefSeq lists it as uncharacterized. The record is from RefSeq and is a predicted model, not a curated record. The transcript has 3 exons. Lineage: Eukaryota; Viridiplantae; Streptophyta; Magnoliopsida; Poales; Poaceae.
CGAUGUUCGUUUGUUAUCUUCUACUAGCUCUGCGGAUGCUUCCAAGACAUUUGCCUUGCGUAUAUGCUGGAGUAUAAAGCCAAGAUAUCAUGGAGUAUCAUGGAAUCCAACAGUAGUUGCGGGUGUUUGUCAAAGGGCAGUUUACUGAUGAUGAGUGGGCAGAGGAAUAACAUAUGCCCAAAAUGACGAUGACCAUUAGGGAGAGCUCUUUGAGGUGCUCGAGGAUGAUAAGUGCCUUCC